UUCCGGUUGAUCCUGGCGGAGGUUACUGCUAUCGAGGUUCGACUAAGCCAUGCGAGUCGAAUGUAGCAAUACAUGGCGUACUGCUCAGUAACACGUGGACAACCUACCCUUAGGUCGGGGAUAAACCCGGGAAACUGGGUAUAAUACCCGAUAGUCCUCGGAUGCUGGAAUGCACCGAGGUCUAAAGCUCCGGCGCCUAAGGAUGGGUCUGCGGCCUAUCAGGUAGUAGUGGGUGUAGCGUACCUACUAGCCUACGACGGGUACGGGUUGUGAGAGCAAGAGCCCGGAGAUGGAUUCUGAGACACGAAUCCAGGCCCUACGGGGUGCAGCAGGCGCGAAAACUUUACAAUGCUGGAAACAGCGAUAAGGGGACCUCGAGUGCCAGGUUACAAAUCUGGCUGUCGUGAUGCCUAAAAAGCAUUGCAUAGCAAGGGCCGGGCAAGACCGGUGCCAGCCGCCGCGGUAACACCGGCGGCUCGAGUGGUAACCGCUAUUAUUGGGUCUAAAGGGUCUGUAGCCGGCCGGAUAAGUCUUUUGGGAAAUCUGGCAGCUUAACUGUCAGGCUUUCAGAGGAUACUGUCUGGCUCGAGGCCGGGAGAGGUGAGAGGUGCUUCAGGGGUAGGGGGAAAUCUUGUAAACUGAAGGACCACCA
This 652-nucleotide ribosomal RNA is filed under the name uncultured Methanosaeta sp. Its description in RNAcentral is "bacterial SSU rRNA". It matches the Rfam family "Archaeal small subunit ribosomal RNA", at positions 1 to 662 of the family's 1478-position model. The record is from RNAcentral. Lineage: Archaea; Methanobacteriati; Methanobacteriota; Methanomicrobia; Methanotrichales; Methanotrichaceae.